RNAcentral lists this ribosomal RNA (1904 nucleotides) under human gut metagenome. RNAcentral's name for it is "bacterial LSU rRNA". It matches the Rfam family "Bacterial large subunit ribosomal RNA", at positions 1 to 1984 of the family's 2925-position model. RNAcentral also lists the same sequence under 1 other name. The record is from RNAcentral.
UGAAGUAAGUAAGGGCGUACGGUGAAUGCCUUGGUGCCAACAGGCGAAGAAGGACGCGGCAAGCUGCGAAAAGCCUCGGGAAGCUGCAAGCAAGCGAUGAUCCGGGGAUAUCCGAAUGGGGUAACCUGAUCGAGGCAAUACUCGAUCGUUCAUACCUGAAUACAUAGGGUAUGAAACGUGAAACCCGCUGAAGUGAAACAUCUCAGUAAGCGGAGGAAAAGAAAGAGAAAUCGAUUCCGUAAGUAGUGGCGAGCGAAAGCGGAUGGAGCCCAAACCGAAGGUAUUCCUUCGGGGUUGUAGGACCACGUCAUAUUCGACCAUACUGGAUAGUAGAACAGCCUGGAAAGGCUGGCCGGAGAAGGUGAAAGCCCUGUAGACGAAAUCCAGAGUGGGAAUUAGUGGUAUCCUGAGUAAUACAUCACACGUGGAACGAUGUAUGAACCCGCGCGGACCACCGCGCAAGGCUAAAUACUAGUUGGCGACCGAUAGUGAACAAGUACCGCGAGGGAAAGGUGAAAAGAACCGCUGUGAGCGGAGUGAAAUAGAACCUGAAACCGUAUGUCUACAAAGUGUCAGAGCAGAGCAAUCUGCGAUGGCGUGCCUUUUGUUUAAUGAGUCUGCGAGUCAGUGUUUGUGGCAAGACUAAGGGCUUCCGGCCCGGAGUCGCAGCGAAAGCAAGUCCGAACAGGGCGCAAUAAGUCGCAGGUACUGGACCCGAAGCGGAGGUGACCUACCCUUGGCCAGGUUGAAGCAUGGGUAAAACCAUGUGGAGGACCGAACAGGUGAACGUUGAAAAGUUCUCUGAUGAGCUGAGGGUAGGAGUGAAAGGCUAAUCAAACCCCGUGAUAGCUGGUUCUCUUCGAAAUGCAUUUAGGUGCAGCGUCACGUGCUGAUGCGCGGGGGUAGAGCACUGACAAGGCUAGGGGGCACACCCGCUUACCAAACCUUAUCAAACUCCGAAUACCGUGCAAUGGAACGUGGCAGUGAGACAGUGGGGGAUAAGCUUCAUUGUCGAGAGGGAAACAACCCAGACCAGCAGCUAAGGUGCCUAAAUAACGCUCAGUGGAAAGGAUGUGGGAUUACACAGACAGUGAGGAUGUUGGCUUAGAAGCAGCCACCAUUUAAAAAAUGCGUAAUAGCUUACUCAUCGAGUGAUCCUGCGCCGAAAAUGAUUGGCGAUCAAGCGUUAUACCGAAGCUCUGGACUUUGCCGCAAGGCAGAGUGGUAGAAGAGCGUUGCAUGCGCGUCGAAGGGCGAUGGCGACUGACCCUGGAGCACAUGCAAGUGAGUAUGCAGACAUGAGUAACGUUAAGCCGGGUGAAAUCCCCGGCCGCCGUAAACCCGAGGUUUCCAGGGCAACGUGUUUCGUCCCUGGGUUAGCCGGGACCUAAGCCGAGGCCGAGAGGCGUAGGCGAUGGACAUCAGGUUAAUAAUCCUGAGCUCGCAACCCUUAAACUGGGGGGACGCAUGAGAAAAGAUGACUAGGUUAUUGAAUUCCGAGUUGAGUCCACGGACUCAGCGCAUCAUUGGAUCGAGUGCCAAGAAAAGCCCCAGCGUAUGCUAAGCGACCCGUACCGCAAACCGACACAGGUGGGUGGGUAGAAUAUACCAAGGCGUAAGAGUGAAACCUGGUUAAGGAACUCGGCAAAUUAGCCCCGUAACUUCGGAAGAAGGGGUGCCUGCAGCGAUGCAGGCCGCAGAGAAAUGGCCCAACCGACUGUUUAUCAAAAACACAGCACUCUGCAAAGACGCAAGUCGAAGUAUAGGGUGUGACACGUGACCAAUGCCGAAAGAUUAAGGCAAGGGGUUAGCCGCAAGGCGAAGCUCUAAACCCAAGUCCCGGUGAAUGUCGGCCGUAACUAUAACGGUCCUAAGGUAGCGAAAUUCCUUGUCGGGUAAGUUCC